Molecule: long non-coding RNA, 219 nt
Filed under: Erythranthe guttata (spotted monkey flower)
Lineage: Eukaryota; Viridiplantae; Streptophyta; Magnoliopsida; Lamiales; Phrymaceae
Description: long non-coding RNA (EGUT_LNC000907)
Source: RNAcentral
CCGGAUGAUGCCGCCUCCAAACCCACCGCCGACGAAGAGAUGAGACGAAUAGGGUCGCGACCAAAAAUCUUGAUUCAAAAGAAAUCUGGAAAAACCCAUCAAAUUAAACAUAAAGCAUAAUUUUUUUUGGGGUGGGAAGGCAGGUGGUGCGGAGGUGGUGGUGAGGUGGUGGUGAUGCGGAUGGAAGAAUUUUGGGUUGGGGAUGAGAUGAUGGCCGUG